UCUCCGCCAUUACAUCUAUCGCGAAAAUCAGUGAAAACGUGUGUGUUCCACAAAGGGAUUACUUUUUCGAGACAGGAAGUAAAUUCAGCAAUUUUUCAUAGAACGGAAUGCCGCCAAAAACCAAUGCCGAAAGGCAAAAAGCUUACAGAGAACGACUUAAAAAGGAUAAACCAAGUAAAUAUGAGGAAAUCCGUGUCAAACAUUUGGAAAAAGUUAAAGAAAAUAUCAAAACGAAAAAAGCAAUUCUUACAGAAGAAGAAAAACAAGAGCUACGUGCAAAGUGGAGAC
Ostrinia furnacalis (Asian corn borer) is the source of this 288-nucleotide long non-coding RNA. RefSeq lists it as uncharacterized. The record is from RefSeq and is a predicted model, not a curated record. NCBI's taxonomy places the organism in Eukaryota, Metazoa, Arthropoda, Insecta, Lepidoptera, Crambidae. The transcript has 2 exons.